This 432-nucleotide ribosomal RNA is filed under the name uncultured bacterium. Its description in RNAcentral is "partial 16S ribosomal RNA". It matches the Rfam family "Bacterial small subunit ribosomal RNA", at positions 338 to 795 of the family's 1533-position model. The record is from RNAcentral.
CCUACGGGUGGCAGCAGUCGAGAAUUUUUCUCAAUGGGGGAAACCCUGAAGGAGCGACGCCGCGUGGAGGAUGAAGGCUUUCGGGUUGUAAACUCCUGUCAUUUGGGAACUAGUACCAGAAGAGGAAGGGACGGCUAACUCUGUGCCAGCAGCCGCGGUAAUACAGAGGUCUCAAGCGUUGUUCGGAUUCAUUGGGCGUAAAGGGUGCGUAGGUGGCGCCGUAAGUCGGAUGUGAAAUUUCGGAGCUUAACUCCGAAACUGCAUUCGAUACUGCGGUGCUUGAGGACUGGAGAGGAGACUGGAAUUCAUGGUGUAGCAGUGAAAUGCGUAGAGAUCAUGAGGAAGACCAGUGGCGAAGGCGGGUCUCUGGACAGUCCUGACACUGAGGCACGAAGGCCAGGGGAGCAAACGGGAUUAGAUACCCUUGUAGUC